AGCAGCCGCGGUAAUUCCAGCUCCAAUAGCGUAUAUUAAAGUUGUUGCAGUUAAAAAGCUCGUAGUUGAAUUUCGGGAUUAAUGUUUCGGUCAUGCCGUUGGUAUGUACUGAUAUUAUUGAUUUCUCACCUUCUAAAGAACCGUAAUGCCAUUAAUUUGGUGUCACGGGGAAUUAGGACUGUUACCUUGAAAAAAUUAGAGUGUUUAAAGCAGGCUCACGCUUGAAUACAUUAGCAUGGAAUAAUGAAAUAGGACAUCCGAUUCUAUUUUGUUGGUUUCUAGGAUCGAUGUAAUGAUUAAUAGGGAUAGUUGGGGGCAUUAGUAUUCAAUUGUCAGAGGUGAAAUUCUUGGAUUUAUUGAAGACUAACUACUGCGAAAGCAUUUGCCAAGGAUGUUUUCAUUAAUCAAGAACGAAAGUUAGGGGAUCGAAGACGAUCAGAUACCGUCGUAGUCUUAACCAUAAACUAUGCCGACUAGGGAUCGGAUGAUGUUAAUUUUUUAAUGACUC
This 508-nucleotide ribosomal RNA is filed under the name uncultured Glomeromycotina. RNAcentral describes it as "SSU rRNA". It matches the Rfam family "Eukaryotic small subunit ribosomal RNA", at positions 569 to 1077 of the family's 1831-position model. Lineage: Eukaryota; Fungi; Glomeromycota. The record is from RNAcentral.